GGUGGACAGAGGGAGGAAGGACAGAGAGGAGGGGUCGCCCCCACAAGGGCCAGGCCGGGAGUCUGGAGGAGCCCCCUGCCGGGAAUGCAGCUGGGGAAAGAGGUUAUUAGGUGCAGUCCUGAGAACGGGGCAGGGAUGAGAGGCAGGGAAUUUGUUACUCGAAAACUGGGCUCGACUCGGUGGACGUUGCGCCAAGAGACACAGUCAAGCCAAACAGCGGGAGAAGGAAGCAUUUAUUACUUGCAGCAAUUCGCUCUGUUUUUCUUCACCCUUGCCUUCCAUUCUGGGAGGGAAGAUCCACCUCAACAGGGUGGGCUCCUCUCACGAGCCCACCUCCGGCGGCCCCCUCCCUCGGACCUUGCCAAGACACCGAGACGAGCUCCAGGACAGGACUCUCCACUUGCCUUCUGGACUGACAUCCACACACUGGCCCACAUUUCAUCCCUCAGUUGCAAGGGAAGCAGCUGGAGCAGAAGGCUUUGUUUGGGUUCCUGUCCCAGCCUCCCUCACUGAUCUAUCGAUCUAUUGCAAAUCAAAAAGCAGCGUCUUGGUUCCUUCUCCUCAGACCCGGAUAACUAUCUAGAAGAAUUCAAGUAUCUUACUCAGUCCUACAACUUAACCUGGCAUGAUAUUUACAUCAUCCUUUCCUCCACCUCCUCCCAGAAGAGAAGGAACAAGUAUGGCCAACCUCCCGGCUGCAAGCUGAUGAGAUACACAGGGCUGACGACACAAAGCCUGUAGGGGUCACGGCUGUCCCCUCCCAGAGAUGAUCCUGGGAUUAUCAGGCAGGGAGACCUGGGCCAGCAGCCUGUCAUCACGUGGUUGCUUGCCUCAUUGUAGGCCUUCAAAAGGCAGAACAUAAAGCUAUCAUCUUUGAUAAGCUUUGGCUAAUAAUUCAAGGGCUAGACGAAAACCCGGCACAAUUUCUAGCCAGGCUAACGGAAGCCCUACAAAAAUAUACAAGAUUUGAUCCCAUUUCAGCAGAGGGCACCAUUGUCCUUAUCACCCACUUUAUCUCCCAAUCGUCCCCAGACAUCUGAAAGAAACUAAAAAAGGCAGAAGGCCCUCAACCCCCUCAACAAGACCUUUUAAAUUUAGCCUUUAAGGUUUUCAAUAAUCGGGAAAAACAGGCAAAGCUAGAGAAGGCCCAACGAGAUCAGGCCAAAUACCACCUUUUAGCCACUGCCCUCCAUGGCUCCAAAUUUCCAUCAACCAACAAAGGCAGGAAGCCGUGUGGGCCCUGCUUCAAAUGCGGCAAAGAAGGCCACCGGGCCCACUCACGUCUAAAGCCAAGGCCCCCUCCAGGCCCGUGUCCCAGCUGUGGCACAAAGGGACAUUGGAAGGUUGGCUGCCCAAAUCCCCCUUAGGGAUCCGGACAUCCCCUCCUGGUCUCGAGCAGCAGUCCUCUGACCCAGCUCUGCCCAGCCUCCUUGGACCCGCCGUUGAGGAUUAGAGGUGCCCAGGGCUCCAGGCCCCGACUCUUGCCACCUCUAAGGAGCCCAGGGUAACUCUCACAGUGGCAGGGUCACGAUGUCUCAUCUCCUUGAUCUGAAUGUCACGAGGGAGCCUUGGGAUUGCUCAGACGUGAAAGGAAGCCUGUCAUUCUGCUGGGUUGGUCGGUGGUUUCUCCUCUCUGCUGCCUUCCUGCAAAGCGGUGCUUGCUGUUGCAGCCAAUGCUGUGAUGAGUAUCCCUGCCCCAUGUGGCCGGGCAGGGAGACGUUCCCAUGGGACCAUCCACGACGUCAACCUCCACUGCAAUCCCUCCCCUCCUGGGGUCUCCUGCAGACUCUCCUUGGAGUUCCUGGGCUGAGCAUUUGCCAGAAGCUAGAGUCAGAUGGGGACUAGGUUCAAAUACCAGUUGCUCCAUCAACAUCUCUCCCUGCGUCAGUGUUCUCAUCCCUACAAAGGAGACGAUAAUCAUGGUACCACUUCCGGAGUUGUCUUGAGUAUUACAUGCAAUAACGUGUUAUAGCCCCUGGAUCAGGGGAAGGACUCAGGAUGGCUCGCUGCCCUCUCCUUCCCCCUCUGAUAUCCCAUCUACCCUAUGGAGUCCCAAGCUUUGCAUGUGGGCCCUGGUCUAGUCGUCUGCACCCCGCAGCUUCCCCGGAUGUGGAUGUGGUGGUGCACAAUAAAUAAAUGGCCCCUGCAUGUGCCGUGAGGCGCAGUCCUCCAGCUUUGGCCUGACCCCCACUCCGCUAGGCCUGGGGGAUGGGGAGGAGUAGAGGUGCCUUUCUCUGGAUGGUCCACAGCACCCCCGAGUCCCUCCCCCUCUUUC
This is a long non-coding RNA of Bos taurus (domestic cattle), 2275 nucleotides long. The record is from Ensembl. Lineage: Eukaryota; Metazoa; Chordata; Mammalia; Artiodactyla; Bovidae.